Castor canadensis (American beaver) is the source of this 8932-nucleotide non-coding RNA. NCBI's taxonomy places the organism in Eukaryota, Metazoa, Chordata, Mammalia, Rodentia, Castoridae. The record is from RefSeq and is a predicted model, not a curated record.
CAAAAGGCUCAGCAUCUGAGAGAAAGAAUGAAUGAAUGGUACUGCAUCAAAAUAAAGAGCUUUUGCACAGCAAAAGAAAGUUACUAGACUCAAGAGACAGUGCACAGGAUGGGAGAAGAUUUUUGCCAGCUACUAGUCCCAUUAGCAACUAAAUUCCAGAAUCUACAGGGCACUCAAUAAAUUCAACCCCCAAUGAAUCAACACCCCAAUGAAGACAUGAGCUCAUGAAUUAAAUAAGGAACUCUUAAAGGAAGAGAUACAAAUGGCCAAUACAUGAAGUGUUCAAUUUCUCUGGUUAUAAAAGAGAUGUAAAUCAACACAACACUUAGAUUUCAUCUUACCCCACUUAAAAUGGCCACAGUCAAGGGCAAUAUCAACAACAAAUGCUGGUGAUGAUGAGUCAGAACAGGAACUCUUAUGUAGUAUAGGUGGGAAUGCAAAUUAGUACAACCAUUGUGGCAAGCCUCAUGGAGAUUCCUCAGAAAGCUAAAGCUAGAACUGCCGUAUGAUCCAAUGACACCACUGCUGGACAUCUACCCAAUGGAAGGAUGUUUGUUUUUAGGUCCACAGAAUGCUAAAAAUAUGGGACAUACAGGCUUUCUUGGAGAUGUCAAAGGAAAGCUUGGGAGGUCAAGCAGUAUACAGAAGGGCUAUAACCUCUGCAAGCAGCUGUUGAGAGGUCAACUUGUGAAGCUGUGAGCGUGAACCCAAGCUUUCAUGGAGACUACUGGAGGUCAGUUGCCAGGAUGGUAGAUGAUAUACAGAGGGAAGGACAGCUGCAGUGAGCACAGCCAGCCCAAGAGCAGUCAUGUUGGUUGCACCUGUCAAGGGACAGUCUCACAACUCAUGUGAGCAUGUCCUAGAAACCUAACUGGGGGUGACAGGAGGUUAAGAAAGGACAAAAGACAGAAGACAAAACAUGCACAAAGCUGGGGCCAGGUGGACUAGGUGCUCAGAUGGAGACACAACAGCCUCAUCCACCUCCAGUGAGUUUAUUAUAUACAUGGCAAAACAGGAGGUGAGGCAGCAGUUUUGGGGUGGGGAAGUGUGGGACAUUAUAGUUCUUGGGAACAGGAGAAACCUGUGACCGCUUCCCUCUGAAUGUAAACAUCUUAGGAAAAACAGCUGUGCUGCAUUUUGCCCUCACCCUCCUCUGCGGGCCAUGCCAAACUCAGCCUGCAGGUUAUUUGACAAAGCUGUGCUUUUACAUCAAGUUGUCAUAGGCCUCUCAUACUCUGCUUUCCACAUCUCCACCUUUUUUAUUACUUAAAAUAUUCCUGAUGAAGCCCAUCCCCCAUUCCAAGCAGUUGUCUUUGUACAUGUGGCAUCUGACUGAAGGAACAAGAAAGCAGGCGAACAAUAACAUAUAUUCCUGCCAAACACCAGAAGGAGUGCUCUAGCAUGUUUAAUGGAUUAAAAUCCUUGAAUUCACCAAGGAUAGUAUUUGCAUAUUAGCUGGAGAAACAUUAUCAUAAGCCUUUUGCAUGGCCAAUAUUUGUUGCCUUAAUUGCCUUAUGUCUACAGUAUUGUUUGCUUUGUUCCCAUGCACCCAUAAGAUGAGCUUUACCUGUAAAGUUAUAGUCACUAUAUUGAGACACCAAAUGUCCUGAGGAAUGACCUCCCAUGUGCACUAUAUCAGUAAAAAUAGAUACAGAGUUGCUCUAAAGUGAUAGGAUGCACCAUUGGCAGGUGGAGAAUGAAAGUCCAGUAUGCAUUGCCCUGGACUACACCCACCUGUAUUGUAAUUAUGACCAAUGCCACCAGUGAUAUUGCUGUGGGAUUCCCAGCCAUCCCCAGGUUACUGGUUACUGUUGUCAUCGUCAUGUCCUUUAGUUUCUUCAUUUGACCCCAGGUGGGUGGCUCACUGUUCCGCGUCUAUCUUGCUGAUGGUCAUUUCCUUGGCUGCCCUCUGGUUGGCAGAGGAGUCAGCCUCAGUGGUUCCCUUUCCUGGGGAGAGUCUUCCAGUCACAGCCUCCUCAUCUUUGGGGCCAGGGGGUCCAGAGGCUUCACAAAUCACGAUGGUACCCACACUGGGUGUUCUGCAUCUUCUGGAGAAAACACAAGCAUGCCCUUGUCCCCACAUCAGAACAGGACUAGUACUGUGCCAUUUGCCAGUCAACACAUUUUCCCAAAGAACCUGAGGCCUGCCAGUCAGCUCCUGUGGUUGCCAAUGCCUUUCAGUGGGUGUUAAACCCUGUUCUGGGCAGUUCAAAAAAAUUAAGGGCAUAAAAAGCUUUAUGCAAUUGGCUAGCUAGGGGAAUUACCUCAUCUCCCCAUUUUAACUUUUUAAAUAGCAUUUUGAGGGUGGCAUGUGUACAUUCCACUAUGGACUGCCCUUGAGGAUUACAAGGAACUUUGGUGGUGUGAUGUAUCUGAUAGGCCUCACAGAACUGCUGAAAAGCAGUUGAAUUGUAUUCAGGGCCAUUGUUGAUCUUGAGCUGUUGAGGCUUACCCAUGGCAGCAAAGACAGCCAAACAAUGAGUGAUGACAUGUUUAGUGGCCUCACCAGCAUGCACGAAGGCAUAGAUAUAACCUGAAUAAAUGUCCACUGACACAUGAACAUAGUACUGCCAGUCAAAGGAGGAAACGUGAAUGACACCCAUCUGCCACAAGAUUACAGGCCAAAGGCCCCGUGGGUUAACCCCUUUAUAUGCUUGUGGUAAACAUGUGACACACUGCUGACUUGAUGUAAUGAUUUGUUGAGCCUGUUCCUUGGUAAGGUGAAAUUGCCUACACAGGGCUGAAGCAUUUUGUUGGUACAAAGGAUGACUGAGUUGGGCAGCUUCUAUGGGUGCAAAAAUUUGCAUGGGCAAGCCCAAAGCAAGCCCAGAGACUAGGUUAUCUGCCCAGGCAUUACCAUCAGCAAGUGACCCAGGGAGAUUAGAAUGUGAGCACAAAUGGCUCACAUUUUGUACCAGAAUAUGCAACUGAAAGAAAAGAUUAAAUAACACUUCAUUACUAGUAUGGCCAACAUAAGCAGUUUCAAUGUGGUGUAAAACACCUACCACAUAGUGACUAUUACUGUGUAGAUUGAUAGGUUGUUGUGGAAAGUCCCUGAGGUCCAUGAACAUCAUCAAGGUCUGCCCUUUGAGCAGAGGCCAAAACAGUAUGUUUAAACUUAGGGCAAUCUUUGGUGUAGUAAGAGCAGUACCACGUCCAGAAGCACAGUGAAGAUUGUGACAGCCUCGGUGAGGGGAGGAUAGUAUAAUUUUUGGAAAGACAAACGUGAAGGGAAGCAAAAUGUAAGUUUUGAAUGUGGGAGAUGUUCCCCCACCUGUCCUGGAAAAUUAGCCAGUGCAGACUCAUAAGUCUGAGAAUUGCCAUAUCCAAUGCUGUUGAUCUUUUGAAAAUGUGAAAACAAUAUUACUGGGCUCAUGCCCCAGCAAUUCACAAAAUGAGUGUGUCCCAGAACAAUCAGCCUAGCUACAGCUCAUGAUACAGUGUAAGCACCUUAGUAGGAGAGUGACUUAAGUGUAACCAUUCCAACACCCCCUGCAAUUGCCAGAGAGUAAUUGAACAGGCUGCUGUGGAUCCUAGUGCUGAAGCUUGGCUUUGUAAUUGCUCUCUCUACCUUAACCAAUGCCUGUUGGGCGUCCUCUAUAAGUUCUUGAAGUGAGGAAGGAUUAGGUUGAGCAGUUGAAAAAGAGGAGAUAAGAUGUCAGUGGUAAGUUUUAGAGAGCAUCUGAGCCAAUUGCUAUAUCCUAGCAAUUUUUGUAAAUCAUUUAAAGUUUUAAAAUUAUGCUUCCUGAUCUCUAUGUUUUGAGGAUGGUUAAAUGUCCAUUGAUAACUUGCCCUAAAUAUUGAAAAGCAGGCAUUUUUUGUACCUGUCUGGGACAAUGCACAAUCACUAGGCCUCAACAUCUUUGUAAGAUCUGUCAAGAUUAGUAGAAGUGUAGACUCACUGGGAUGACUUAUCAGAAUUACAUCCAUGUAAUGAAGCUUCUGGAUACUUAUGGCAUGUAGGUUCUAUUGGUACAGCAACAAAUUCCUGACCCAUAUUGGGACUGUUAACCAUGCCUUGGGGCAGCACUGUCCAAUGAAAUCAACAUCCAGGGCCUGAUGAUUUGAUGAUGAUAAAAUGAAAGCAAUUUUUUCUCUGUCUUUUGAAUGGAGAGGAAUGGUUAAAAAAAAAAGGAAAGAAAGAAAAGAAAAGAAAACAUCUUUAUGAUCAAGAAUGCAAAGAUAAUACUCUAAUGGAAUAGUUGUGGGUGAAGGAAGGCCAGGCUGGAGUGCUCCCUCUGUUGACAGCCCCUAAAUCUUGUAAGAACUUCCAUCUUCCCAACUUUUUUCUAAUCACAAAAAUUGGAUUAGAAAGGGCUAUAGGUAGGCUCAAUAUGCCCUGCUUUUAAUUGUUCCUUCACCAGAACUGUGGCUGUAGGCAAUUUUUCCCCUGUCAAAGGCCACUGGUCCACCCAGACUGGAUCUGUUGAGAGCCCAGUGAUCUAAGUGUUUAAUUUGUUGGACCUGGAGGGCCCCUACUGAAAAUGCUGCGUGGCCUGGUAUCCUAGCCCCAUCCUUCCUAGAUUCCCUAAAGGCUGUACAGUAUGUAACCUACCUUGUUUAUAUUUUCCCAAUCCCCUAAUGGGAUUAUAGCCUUGUUGAAACAUUUAGUGAGAGACCGCGCUAAUAAGACUGCAGACUAUAGUUCCCAUACUCUCUAAUGCAUUUCUUCCCCACAGAUUGAUCAGAAGAUUGUCUAAGACAAAGGAGUAGAAAGCCCUGAGUAUCCCUCUUCAUUCCUCCAUCAGAGCUGUUGAGCACUCUGGAGUGGGCCAUGAGCAGCCCCUACCCCCUGCAGAUCAGCAACAGAGGGUUGGCAAGACCAACUUUCUGGCCAAUGUCUAGCAGCAAUUACAGAGAUAUCAGCACCAGUAUCCAAAAAUCCCCCAAAUCAUCUGUCAUUUAAGUACAAAGUCACUUCCAGAUUAUCUUCUGUUACUUGAGGUACCCAGUCUGGAUGAUCAGAGGAGCCGAAUCCUCUAUCUCUCCACAGGGUAUGAGCUAACACCUUGCCUUUCUUCACAUUUGGGAGAAUAAGCAGCUGAGCUAUUUUAUUCUCUCGGAAUACUGGUACAAAGGCAUCUGGUGCCUGGGCCAUUAUCUUAAUUUCCGCAGUACAGUCUUCAUCAAUCACACCUGGAUAAUAAACCUGUAAUCCCCUUAUGGUUGCACUACUUUUCCCUAAUAUUAAACCCACUGUGCCCUGGGGCAGAGGGCCAUAGACCCCCGUAGGGAUAACUUGCACUCCCAAAUCAGGCAUUAUCACAUAUCAGGAGGUGGAACUGAGGUCCAAUCCUGCGCUUCCUGGGGUGGUGCAAACGAGGUUUUCAAUGGUGGGUAUUGGGUGGGAACAUUCAUAGUAAUCGCCUCCACUGUUUUACAGGGCUGGGGCAGGCCCUGUGUGAAUUUUCCCUGUCUAUAAGAGGUUACCUAUCUAUAUCUGUUUUGGAGUGACAUUCUUUUGCCCAGUGUUUUCCCCUCCCACACCAAGGACAUAUCCCGGUUGUUCGAGCCCUUGGCCCAUUGGCACCAGUUGGUGGCCUGGCAAUGUGUCCCAAGGUACCUAGCUGUAGUCAGGGCUUAUUCCCACACUCCCUAGCAAAAUGUCCCUCUUUUCCACAGAAAAAACAUGCUCCUUUUUUUCUUCCCCCAGGGUGCAACAUUUCCUUUAAGGCAGAAGGUAAAGUAUGCACUGGAUGUGACUUGGCCCGACAUCUGCACAAAUUCUAAUCAUUUCCUAUAGAGUAGCUGUUUUUCUGUAUGGCUGAAGGGCUGUCUUACAGGCCUUGUUAGCCUUUUUGGAAGCCAGUUGUAUUACCAGUAUGUUUCCAGCUUUGGCAUCCUCCACUAUCCUGCCUACGUUUUGCAGCAGGCAUGCCACAAACUCUCCAUAUGGCUCAUUGGGACCUUGGAGAAUGGUAGUUAAUUCCAAAGUCUUUUCUCCUUUCCUUGGUAGUUCUCGCCAUGCCCUUGUGCCUGCAAUGGCAAUCUGCUGAUAAGCUUGAGGGGUUACUGUAUUUGAUUAUCUACACCUCAAAAGGUCAUCUUCCCAUGAGCAUAUCUGCAGUGAUAUGACUUCCAUGGGCCAAAUUAUGGUUUGCCUGCUCCUUACAUAACUAUAAAAUCUGUUUUCCACAGCAAGGAAUCACCUGGAGAGAGGUAUGUUUUAACCAGCCCUGUCCAGUCAUCUGGAGGCAUAGCAGUAUCUCCUAUCAAAUUUUGUAAUAGCCCCAGUGUCAAUGUAGCUGUAGAGCCGUAUAUUGUACAGGCUUGUUUCAACUCCUUUAAAGUUUUAAAUGGGAUCUUUUGAUGAAAUCUCUGUUGCAUGCCAGGGUUUUUAGGGUCUAGUCUCUGAAGCACAGGGUAAAACCUAAAUCCAGCUGCAUCUUCUCCUUGACUAUGAGCUGCCUGCAAGGCAGCCUGCAGGGGACUUUUAGCUAGAGUGGAAGUCUCCUGGCCCAUGGAGGUAACCCCAUAUUCAUGGUUCCCAGUACUUUAUGGGCCAGAGUGUCCUAAUGACCCUCCUCAUAUGACACUGAAUCAGAAUCAGAAUCUGUUUGGACUGAAUUUUAAUUUUAUGUGAAAACUUGACCUCAUAAGGUGGGACUGAUGGUUCAGCAGCUCCGCUGCCUGCAGUAUUUUGUUUCCUCAAGGGAUACUGCCUCUUACAUUCCUGGAUGAUUGGUUAUAAGGGGUGAAUCCGACAUUCCAGCUUGAAUACUGAGUAGGAAAAUCUUUGUUUAUGUGAGGGAGUAGGCCCCAAACAAUCUCUAAUCAUAGACCACAAAUGAAAAGUUAAAAUGGGCAUAGCUUCCCGCCCCUCAGCCGUAUGCCACGCCCUCAGCCUGUCUUCUACCUUGUUCCAUGUUUCUAAAUUUAAAGUGCCCUCCUCAGGGAGCCAUGGUUAAGUUUCUUGUAUGAAAUCUAAAAAGUGCAUAAGCUGAAGCAACCUGACUCUGCUUCCUCUAAUCUUUAGCAUAGGUUUUAAAGCAUGUAUAUAGAGCUCCUGUUCCUUAGACUUACACUAUCCCAUGUUUUUACACCUGGCUGUAUUCAAUUCACUCUCUCCUCCUUACUUCUUUUCUAUUACAUCUCACUUGUUUCUCAUCAUUAGUUGUAUACUUCAUAGACAGUGUCUCCUUGUCUCUGGCUUCAAGUUCCUCUGUAGUUAGGUCCCUGUUCAGGUGCCACCUCUCAUGACCCCUGCAAGCUUGCCCUAAAAACCUAACUGGGGGCAAUGGGAGAUUAAGAAUGGACAAAAGACAGAAGACAAAACAUGCACAAAGCUGGUGCCAGGUGGACUGGACGCUCAGAUGGAGACACACAGCAGUCUCGUCUACCUCCAGCGAGUUUAUUAUAUACAGUGGAAAAACAAGGAGUUGGGGGCAACAGUUCUUGGGGGGAGGGGUGUGACAUUGUAGUUCUCGGGAACAGGAGAAACCUGAGACUGCUUCAUUCUGAAAGUAAACAUCUUAGGAAGAACAGCUCUGCUGCAUUUUGCCCUCACCCUCUUCUGUGGCUGGGGCCAUGCUAAACAGCCUGCAGAUUUUUGGGCAUAACUAUGCUCACUCCCUUCUGCAGCUGGGGCUGUGCCAAACUCAACCUGAAGAUUAUUGGGCACAACUCCACUCUCUCCCAUCUAUGGCUGGGGCCGUGCCAAACUCAGCCUGCAGAUUAUUUGACACAGCUGUGCUUAUGUCAAGUUCUCACAGGCUUCUCAUACUCUGCUUUCCACAGAGCAGGACUGCCUGAGCUCUCUGGAGCUCAGUUCACAGCACCAGGUGUCCCUGAUGCCGGACCUGAAGUAUAGGGUUUAUUGUUUAGUAUGCUUGGUUUUGGUUUUGCUUUGGUCUGAUUUCACCUUACUUUCUCCAUUUCCUCCCUUUUGGAAUGAAAAUGUUUACCCUUGAUGCAUUAUACCUUGAAAUAUGUAAAUUUCUUUUGAUUUUCUGGGGUUUCACUGAUAAGAAUUUGCUUUGAGUCUCAGAGGGAAAUGGACUUUUGAGGAACUAUGGAACUGUUAAGACUAUGGGAACUCUUGCAGAUGAACUGAAUGCAUUUUACGUUGUGAGAUGGACCUGAACCUUUGAAGUCAGGAAUUCAAUGUUAAUGGGUGAAUGGUAAAUGCUCCCAAAUAUUCAUGCAUUGAAGGCUUGGCCCUCCAUAAAGCAGAGUCAAAGGUGGGGCUUUUGUUACAUGAUUGGGACAUCAGGGCCCUGACCUUACAAAAGGAUUAAUCCACUUUUUGAUCCAGAGCAUAAGGGGUUUGAGCGAAGGGCCUUGUUAUAACACUCAACUAUCUCUUUGGUUCUUGGGUGCACAUGAGAAGUUUAUUCUACCUCAUUGUCCUUGGCAAGAUAUUCUACCUCAGUGGGAGACCCUAGCCUGUUGCAGAGGUGGGUGCAUCUGUAGUACCUGAAAUAACAGGGAAAGAUGUUUCUGAGGAUGCUGGGUUUCUGGCCUUCUCUCUCUUGCCACCCAUCCUCCUCUGACCCCCAAGACCUCUGGCUCCCUCAUCAGUACCCCUCAGAAUCUCAGACUGGCUUUUAAAAGGAGAGAUGUCACCAUGGAAAAAGCAAACUCCUUGUAUGCCAUUUGUCUCUGAUGAGUGUCCUCUGAAGAUUUUGUCAAUUAACCCUUAUAUAUUAAUGAAAGUCCUUCAUUGUAGGAAUAGCUUUUUCCAGAUGUUUUUCAUGUCAGAGUGGAAGCAUUGGGCAGGUCAGGUGGAAAUCAGUGCCAAUUAAGACUCAUUUGGCCAAAUUAUAAACAAGAAAAGAAGUUUAGAAGAAGUGGGCUUACCUGGCAUCCAUUUUUAGUUUUGUCUUCACUAUAGAUGAUAUCUUGACAUCUUAGAAAUAAUGCAGAAGUCCAACAGGCAACAGUUAAGAGUUUUACAAGGAUAAUACAAAAAGCAAAAAAAAAAAAAAAAAAA